RNAcentral lists this ribosomal RNA (669 nucleotides) under uncultured archaeon. RNAcentral describes it as "bacterial SSU rRNA". It matches the Rfam family "Archaeal small subunit ribosomal RNA", at positions 323 to 996 of the family's 1478-position model. The record is from RNAcentral.
CUACGGGGUGCAGCAGGCGCGCAAACUUUACAAUGCGAGCAAUCGUGAUAAGGAAACCCUGAGUGCCUGUCGAUGCAGGCUGUUCAUAUAUCUAAAUCAUAUGUGAAGAAAGGGCAGGGCAAGACCGGUGCCAGCCGCCGCGGUAAUACCGGCUGCUCGAGUGAUGGCCACUAUUACUGGGUUUAAAGCGUCCGUAGCUUGACUGUUAGGUCUCUUGGGAAAUCUUCACGCUCAACGUGAAGGCGUCUAAGAGAUACCGGCAGUCUUGGAACUGGGAGAGGUAAACCGUACUUCGGGGGUAGGAGUGAAAUCUUGUAAUCCUCGAGGGACGACCUAUGGCGAAGGCAGUUUACCAGAACAGCUUCGACAGUGAGGGACGAAAGCUGGGGGAGCAAACGGGAUUAGAUACCCCGGUAGUCCCAGCCGUAAACAAUGUGCGUUAGGUGUGUCGGUAACCACGUGUUACUGAUGCGCCGAAGAGAAAUCGUGAAACGCACCACCUGGGAAGUACGGUCGCAAGGUUGAAACUUAAAGGAAUUGGCGGGGGAGCACCACAACAGGUGGAGCCUGCGGUUUAAUUGGAUUCAACGCCGGACAUCUCACCGGAUAAGACAGCUGAAUGAUUGUCAAUCUGAAGGUUUUACAUGACUAGCUGAGAGGAAGUGCAUG